ACAUUUGUUUGUUUGUUUUGGAUAAUUCUCCACUCUGCUGCUGUUUUUAGUUCUUCCGGAGUUUCUAGGCUGUUUUCAAGUGUCCUUUUCUGCUUUUUCUCAUUUUUGUUGAGAAACCAAUCAAACCAUGGGAAAAGGGAAGAAAAAUAAACUUCCUGACAGGUUUGUUCAAUUUUUUUAUGUGUUUGUUGAAUUCUAGCUCAGUUCAAAUGUUUCCUUACAUUUUUUUCUGUCUAGGUGGUUGGAUUAUUCUGUGGUGGGGCAGGAAAUACAAGGAAUACACAUAGUGGCAUGUAAAGUACCCAUGAAUGAGGGAAUCUUCCGUAACAAAAAUCUGGAUCGGGAACUUUGGUUUACGCCGGAAAAGUUGAUUGAUCUUGUUCCUAACGUCGGCUGCAUAAUCGAUCUGACUGCCA
Long non-coding RNA from Daphnia pulicaria, 416 nucleotides. RefSeq lists it as uncharacterized. The record is from RefSeq and is a predicted model, not a curated record. NCBI's taxonomy places the organism in Eukaryota, Metazoa, Arthropoda, Branchiopoda, Diplostraca, Daphniidae. The transcript has 3 exons.